GAUGAACGCUAGCGGCAGGCCUAAUACAUGCAAGUCGGACGGGAUUUGGGAGCUUGCUCCCAAUGAGAGUGGCGCACGGGUGCGUAACACGUAUGUAACCUACCUUAAUCAGGGGGAUAGCCUCUCGAAAGAGAGAUUAACACCGCAUAAUAUAUUUUUAUGGCAUCGUAGAAAUAUCAAAUAUUUAUAGGAUUAAGAUGGGCAUGCGGAACAUUAGCUAGUUGGUAAGGUAACGGCUUACCAAGGCUACGAUGUUUAGGGGAUCUGAGAGGAUGACCCCCCACACUGGUACUGAGACACGGACCAGACUCCUACGGGAGGCAGCAGUAAGGAAUAUUGGUCAAUGGGCGCAAGCCUGAACCAGCCAUGCCGCGUGCAGGAAGACGGCCCUAUGGGUUGUAAACUGCUUUUGUACCGGAAUAAACCCUUUUACGUGUAAAAGGCUGAAUGUACGGUAAGAAUAAGGAUCGGCUAACUCCGUGCCAGCAGCCGCUGUAA
This 498-nucleotide ribosomal RNA is filed under the name uncultured bacterium. RNAcentral's name for it is "partial 16S ribosomal RNA". It matches the Rfam family "Bacterial small subunit ribosomal RNA", at positions 28 to 523 of the family's 1533-position model. The record is from RNAcentral.